This 99-nucleotide Y RNA is filed under the name Propithecus coquereli (Coquerel's sifaka). Its description in RNAcentral is "Y RNA (ENSPCOG00000003417.1)". It matches the Rfam family "Y RNA". From Rfam's summary of the family: Y RNAs are components of the Ro ribonucleoprotein particle (Ro RNP), in association with Ro60 and La proteins. The Y RNAs and Ro60 and La proteins are well conserved, but the function of the Ro RNP is not known. The record is from Rfam by way of RNAcentral. Lineage: Eukaryota; Metazoa; Chordata; Mammalia; Primates; Indriidae.
GGUUGGUCCGAGUGCAGUAUUUACAACUAAUUGAUCACCACCAGUUACAGAUUCCUUUGUUCCUUCUCCACUCCCACUGCUUCACUUGACCAGCCUUAA